Molecule: ribosomal RNA, 477 nt
Filed under: uncultured bacterium
Lineage: Bacteria
Description: partial 16S ribosomal RNA
Rfam family: Bacterial small subunit ribosomal RNA
Source: RNAcentral
GAUGAACGCUGGCGGCGUGCCUAAUACAUGCAAGUCGAACGAACAGACGAGAAGCUUGCUUUUCGGUUGAUAGCGGCAGACGGGUGAGUAACGCGUGGAUAACGUCCCUAUAAUAGGGGUAUCAUUUGGGAAAUGGGGCGCUUAUACCGUAUAAGCUUUUGAUCCAUAGGGUUCAAAAGUGAAAUUCGGUCUUGUCGGCGGUUGGGGAUGGAUGCGCGCUUCAUCAGCUUGUUGGUGGGUUAGUGGCUUACCAAGGCUACGACGGGUAGCCGGCCUGAGAGGGUGACCGGCCACAUUGGGACUGAGAUACGGCCCAGACUCCUACGGGAGGCAGCAGUGGGGAAUAUUGCACAAUGGGCGGAAGCCUGAUGCAGCAACGCCGCGUGCGGGAUGACGGCCUUCGGGUUGUAAACCGCUUUCGCCUAUGACGAAGCGUGAGUGACGGUAAUGGGUAAAGAAGCAACGGCUAACUACGUG